UCCACUACAAUGCCUUGCCUCUUCUCCAGGAAAGGCAGCAGGGUAUAGUGGACA
Molecule: microRNA precursor, 54 nt
Filed under: Cavia porcellus (domestic guinea pig)
Lineage: Eukaryota; Metazoa; Chordata; Mammalia; Rodentia; Caviidae
Description: microRNA cpo-mir-885 precursor
Gene: cpo-mir-885
Source: miRBase by way of RNAcentral